Molecule: transfer RNA, 76 nt
Filed under: Planctomycetota bacterium
Lineage: Bacteria; Pseudomonadati; Planctomycetota
Description: Planctomycetes bacterium (activated sludge metagenome) tRNA-Ala
Rfam family: tRNA
About the family: Transfer RNA (tRNA) molecules are approximately 80 nucleotides in length. Their secondary structure includes four short double-helical elements and three loops (D, anti-codon, and T loops).
Source: RNAcentral
GGGGCUGUAGCUCAUUUGGUAGAGCGCCUGGUUCGCAAUCAGGAGGUAAGGGGUUCGACUCCCCUCAGCUCCACCA